Mustela lutreola (European mink) is the source of this 2614-nucleotide long non-coding RNA. RefSeq lists it as uncharacterized. NCBI's taxonomy places the organism in Eukaryota, Metazoa, Chordata, Mammalia, Carnivora, Mustelidae. The record is from RefSeq and is a predicted model, not a curated record. The transcript is spliced from 4 exons.
UUCCCGCAGCAGCUGCGGGGCUAGAAAACAAGUGUAGAUGCAAAGAUUCGCUCUCCACGAGCUGUCCCUAGUUGGCCGUAGAAAACGUGAUUCCCUUUCGAUAACGAAAGCUCAUUUAUAGAGUAGGUGGGAAAGCCCGCGGUCCCCAGGAACUGAUGGGGAAAGAGGUCUGCGGCUGCCGGGGGCGCUGAGCGCUGGGGCAGUUUCUCCCAACCUCUCCCAGCGUGGGACCAACCGGGGGAAAGACGCGAGUCGGGGAGAUGGGUGAAGGCCGAGCAUGGGGUGAGGAAGGAAGGGGCUGAGAUACGGGAAGAGGCCGUUCGGCCCCGGCAACUACUUAAUGGCAGGGAAGGACCGCCAAGACUGGAACCAGUACAAGUUGUGCAGCACAACAGGCAGUGCUGAACUGUGACCCCGGAGAGAAGGAAAAUAAAUGCGGAGGGCCCCCUAGAUGCUGGUUUGCUGUGGAGAGAGAACCUGAACGGCCUGGCAGACUCCUUGAAUUCAGGAUACUGAGCUCUGAAUUCCAAGGUGCCAGGGCUGCUAGAAGUCUCAAGGCAGAGCGGUGAAGAUUAAAGAGCUGAAGACAGCUCUGGAGUUCUGCAGAGAUUCUCAAGUCUGAUCUGUUCUGUGCUCUUCUACAUACUUCCCCAAAGAAGAAGGAAGAGUCAGAGGCCUGUUCCAGUCGUUAAUAUUAGCUGUGAAAGUGUGUCUGAGUUGUGUGACAUGCGAAAAGACACUAGGUUUUUAACGUUCUACUGGGUUCCACCAGUAUGUAUGUGCGAGCUGGCACCGUAGCUUCAGCAAGGAAAGUAAAUGGUUUGGUUAUGGAGUCUGUUAGGGGAACUGCUGUGAGCUCUCUGCCCUGUACUCCCAUUCUCAACACUCCGAUCGAGAUACCAGCCACCCCUCAAAGCAUGCCCCUAACAGCUGUGCGACAAAUGAACCUGGGUGAGCUCGAAAGCCGGGCUGUCGUCCUGCUCAAACGCUGGCCAGGUGUGUCGAGAGUUUUCCAAAUGUUUGCCUGUAUUUUGGUGAACUGGAGUGUUCGAAGCUGGCUGCAAAAGUGAGAAAUCUGCUUUGAGAGAACCGGUGUUUGAUCCUUUAAGGCUGAAAUUUCAACCUCAAGCGAAACUCAGGGCAUCCAAAGGCAAUUCAAAACAGAAAGAAGAAAGUUCUAUGUGACAUUUCUGGGAUCGAAACUGAUGAGUUAUAAAUUUUCACUGUUGAUACUUGGCCUGUCUUCCUCUUUUGCCAGUAUAUAUUUAUCUCUUCGGGCAUAAUACCAUGUUACAGUAAAGCUGCUUUCAUUUUGACUACAUUUGUGAUACUCAGACAUGUAAAGGUUGGUGUGUACUUUUGAACUUACAACAAAGAGUUUUCAAAGAAUGGUGUACCAGAUUGUGACAUAAAUGCUUAACCCACGCAAGGAACAGGGAUCUCUGAGAUCUCUGAAAAACACUUUGCCAGCACAUAGAUAAAUAGAAUAUAAAUAAUUCCGAAACUGAAAUGACAAAGCAUUCAUAUCUAAAAGCAGUGUCCAGAGUUUUCUACUUGGCAAAUUUUAUGGACUUUCAGAAUUAUUCACUAUAAAUCAAGGUCAUAAAAAUGGAACUUAAAAAUAAAGUAAUUUUCACAAUACUUUUAAUUAUGUGUCUGUCUACUUAUUCAGAUGGACAUCUAUGUAAAUUAGUAAGUCAUGAUGCAUAAAAUUUUAAAGUUACAUUUAUUUAUAUGCAUUUUAAGCCAUAAUCCUACAGAUUUUAUCUUAUAUUUCAAGAAAAAGAGAAAAAAAUGAGAAAUUAAAUGUUUUAUGCAUUUUUCAUUAUAAAGUAUUACAGGUUCAUUGUUAAAAAUCAGGGAAAUACAGAAAAGUCUAAAAAAAACACUUAACAUUGUACCACUUAAUCAUCAUCACUGACAUUUUUAGUAUCACUUUUAGCCCUUUUGUCUGUAUGUUAUCUUUUUAAAAAAUAAACGAAGACAAACUAAUGUGCCAAGUCAAUCCAAAGGAUUUAGCAAUGCUGCUGGAACAACUGAGUAUCCACACAGAGGAAAACAAAUGAAACUUGACCCAUAUCUCACUCCAUACAUAAAAAAUUAACUUGAGAUAGAUCUAAGCUUAAGAUCAGGGCAUCUGAGUGGCUAAGUUGGUUAAGCCAUUGCCUUCAGCGUAGGUCAUGAUCCCAGAGUCUUGGGAUCGAGUCCCAUAUUGGGCUUUCUCUGCUCUUCAGGGAGCCUGCUUCUGCCUCUCCUCUUGCUUGUGCUCUGUCUCUCUCUCUGUGUCAAAUAAAUAAAUAAAAUCUUAAAUAAAAUAAAAUAAACUUAAGAUCAGAAACAUAAAGCUUCAAGGAGAAUAUCUUUAUGUUCUUGGGAGUAGGCAAAGAUAUCAUGCAAAGAACACAUGAAGCAUUAACCACAAGAGAGAAAAAAAAAAAAAAAAGAUUAAAUUGGAUUGUGCAGGGGCACCUGGGUGGCUCAGUGGUUUGGGCUGCUGCCUUCAGCUCAGGUCAUGAUCUCAGGGUCCUGGGAUCGAGUCCUGCAUCGGGCUCUCUGCUCAGCAGGGAGCCUGCUUCCCUCUCUCUCUCUCUCUGCCUGCCUCUCUGCCUACUUG